Long non-coding RNA from Cynoglossus semilaevis (tongue sole), 760 nucleotides. RefSeq lists it as uncharacterized. Lineage: Eukaryota; Metazoa; Chordata; Actinopteri; Pleuronectiformes; Cynoglossidae. The record is from RefSeq and is a predicted model, not a curated record. The transcript is spliced from 3 exons.
AGCAAUCGUUACUAUGUAAACAAGUUCCUUCAAGCUGAACCUCUGACAAGCAAAACGAGGAAACCAUGUCCCUACCUAGUGAACUAAUUUAAGUCAGUUAUAACAUUAGCUGGGUUUUUUUCUUGUCUUUUUUUUUAUUAAUAGGAUAGAAUAGUACUUUAAUCAUCCCCAAAAGGAAAUUAUUCAGUCAUCGCAGCAGAAAGCUACAGAGAAGAGUUCAUUGAUGUUUCUGUAAACAUCAAGAUGCAACACUCCCAGUUUUCUCUUUGAUGUCAGUCGUGACUUUUCAGAAUAAACGCUCUCUGCAGAAGAUCAGCGUCUAUGAUCCAGGCAUUUACAGCAAGCUCCUUGGUGUUUCUUCUUCUGCAUUCGUCGGCGUUCAAUACGGUUUGCUUCCAAUGGCUGAAAGCAUUUCCCUCCUCUCUGCUGCAGUUGGCAUUACAGGGACCAGCAUUCUGAUUUCGAGGUAGCCUGAGGAAACAUGCUGCUCAGUGUCAGGAACAACAACUUACUCAGAACUCCACUCGGUUCUGGCUAGACGUUGAAACUACAAGGCCAGGGACCACCUGCAAUACCUCCAUGGACCACAAGGUGUCAGCUGGUCACCGGAUGAGAAAAUCAUGCACCUUUGCAGCUUUGGCCUCAACUCACAAAUUUUAAAUAAACAAUGUUUCAUUUAUAAAUGUAAUAAAAUCGUUAAAUAAUUAUAACAUAACGUGCUGACCUAGCAGUUAACUGGACAAUAAAUACCUUAGCCAUG